GGGGUUGACUGGUUUCGACAGCAAGACCAAUGCAUAAGUAAGCAUGCAGAGAACCGUAGCGCGAUCUCUUAAAUCCCUUGCUACAAAUUUUUAACUGGCAACGAAGAGUUCGCUCUUGCAGCUUAAUCCGAAGUUUAGUAGGCACAAGCGCUUUCCCGAAGAUAGUAAGGAAGCAAGAUGUCUCGCCAUCGCUCUGUUCUGCGGCGUUGGAUUUUGGGGCAUAGGAAUGCAGAAAUAAGGUUUUGGGCACUUUGACCAAAGCUCGAAAAUUUUAGAAGAUAAGCUCAAAGUUGGCGGUCUGUUGUCUGCUUUGGGUCGAAAACCAAUAACAGAAUAAGCAUGUAGAAAGCCUAUGUAUUGCUUGUUUGGACGAGGGUUCGAAUCCCUCCAACUCCACAA
Molecule: transfer-messenger RNA, 399 nt
Filed under: Chryseobacterium sp. POL2
Lineage: Bacteria; Pseudomonadati; Bacteroidota; Flavobacteriia; Flavobacteriales; Weeksellaceae
Also listed under: 1 other name
Rfam family: transfer-messenger RNA
About the family: Bacterial tmRNA, also known as 10Sa RNA or SsrA, is named for its dual tRNA and mRNA-like properties.
Source: RNAcentral